AUUAUAUACACAUGUGUGUAUAUGUGUGUAUUAUACACACAGACACAACACAACAACACACAUCCUGUUGGUUCUGUAACUCUGAAGAAAUCUAACACAAUACUGUAGGUAUUCAAAUUUUCAUUAUCAUAAUUACUUUAUUUUAUCUUUAUCUUUCUAGCAGUGAAUAUCACAGAUUAUUGACUUCAUUUGGAACAUAAAUAAGUUAUUCCAAGUAUUCUAAUAUCAAUAAAAUAUUAUAUGAAAUAUUUACAUACUUAAGCACUGAAUCUUGACAAAAGUAAAUGACUUUUUUUAGGUUUGAUCUUCGCAGUGGCCUGUGGCUAAGACUGAUAUUAAAGGAAGAAUUAAAAUCCUGAAUCAAUCAUGAACUUUAAAGUUAAGAUGAAUUCAAGGAUAUCAAACUUGACUGCAUAAGAGAGUAUCAUGUUUGGAGAGAAGAAAUAAUUUUAUUGCGAGACACAAAGUGGUGUCUGUCACUUAAAUCCUUCACCAAUCUACCUCCUGUACUCGUGGAAAAAAAGGAAUCAAUAUAUGCACUCAAAAAGAACAAACAAGGUAGAAAGAGCCUUGUGGAUAUUUGCAGAAAUCGUUGAGAAUUCUGGGAAGAAGAACUAGCCAAUGCUGGGGCCCUGCAAAGGGAGGAGCUCAGUAGUUUGAAGGAGCAGAAGGAAGUCAGCACAGGUGAAGCAGUGAAUGAAGGUGAGAGUUCAGGGUAUGAGAUAAAAUAGCAUUCAAGGACUAAAUCUCAUGAGGCCUUGUAGAUC
Pan paniscus (pygmy chimpanzee) is the source of this 767-nucleotide long non-coding RNA. Lineage: Eukaryota; Metazoa; Chordata; Mammalia; Primates; Hominidae. The record is from Ensembl.